This 107-nucleotide small nucleolar RNA is filed under the name Olea europaea subsp. europaea. Its description in RNAcentral is "Plant small nucleolar RNA R71". It matches the Rfam family "Plant small nucleolar RNA R71". From Rfam's summary of the family: R71 is a member of the C/D box family of snoRNAs containing the C (UGAUGA) and D (CUGA) box motifs. The record is from Rfam by way of RNAcentral. Lineage: Eukaryota; Viridiplantae; Streptophyta; Magnoliopsida; Lamiales; Oleaceae.
AUUCCAUGGUUUGGGCAUUUUCGAAGCAUAUCUUUAAGCCUCUAACAAGCCUCAUGAAAGCUCUCCAACUUGGAUUGUUGAAAAGUGGUUAUGUCAUGCUUGAGUUU